AAAGAAGACCCUGUUGAGCUUGACUCUAGUCUGACUUUGUGAAGAGACAUGAGAGGUGUAGCAUAAGUGGGAGCCUUGGGAUCAAUCUUGAUUAUUGCUUCGGCUUUAGUUGAGACCCCUUGGCGAUCAUGAAAUACCACUACUCUCAUCGUUUCUUUACUUACACGGUAAAAAGGAAGUUGGGAUAGUGCCUCUCUCUCUCAUGGAUUUCGGUUCAUGUUGAGGAGGCCACCUAUCUCUAAAUUCUAGAGCAAAAUGUGGUUCCAUCCAUACAUGCCUCAAGACCCCUAGUUGAGUUUUGUUCUUCUUUUCGGAGAAGGCUGAACUUACUAAAGACUUGGGUUUGGUUGGUAACCCGUGUAAGUUGGUCAGUGCUUGCACUACCAUACAUUACACAAACCGCAUGAUCCUCGCCGUGGACAUUGUCAGGCGGGGCGUUUGACUGGGGCGGUACAUCUGUCAAAAGGUAACGCAGGUGUCCUAAGGCCAGCUCAGUGAGGCCAGAAACCUCACGUAGAGCAAAAGGGCAAAAGCUGGCUUGAUCCAGACUUUCAGUACGAAUACGGACCGCGAAAGCGGGGCCUAUCGAUCCUUUCGAUGAAUGAGAGUUUCAUCCGAGAGGUGUCAGAAAAGUUACCACAGGGAUAACUGGCUUGUGGCAGCCAAGCGUUCAUAGCGACGUUGCUUUUUGAUCCUUCGAUGUCG
RNAcentral lists this ribosomal RNA (705 nucleotides) under Eotetranychus boreus. Its description in RNAcentral is "eukaryotic LSU rRNA". It matches the Rfam family "Eukaryotic large subunit ribosomal RNA", at positions 2403 to 2886 of the family's 3401-position model. Lineage: Eukaryota; Metazoa; Arthropoda; Arachnida; Trombidiformes; Tetranychidae. The record is from RNAcentral.